RNAcentral lists this ribosomal RNA (397 nucleotides) under uncultured bacterium. Its description in RNAcentral is "partial 16S ribosomal RNA". It matches the Rfam family "Bacterial small subunit ribosomal RNA", at positions 523 to 918 of the family's 1533-position model. The record is from RNAcentral.
AUACGUAGGGGGCGAGCGUUGUCCGGAAUGAUUGGGCGUAAAGGGCGCGUAGGCGGCCCGGUAAGUCUGGAGUGAAAGUCCUGUUUUUAAGAUGGGAAUUGCUUUGGAUGCUGUCGGGCUUGAGUGCAGGAGAGGGAGGUGGAAUUCCCAGUGUAGCGGUGAAAUGCGUAGAGAUUGGGAGGAACACCAGUGGCGAAGGCGACUUACUGGACUGUAACUGACGCUGAGGCGCGAAAGUGUGGGGAGCAAACAGGAUUAGAUACCUUGGUAGUCCACACUGUAAACGAUGAAUGCUAGGUGUAGGGGGUAUCGACCCCUUCUGUGCCGCAGUCAACACAAUAAGCAUUCCGCCUGGGGAGUACGGCCGCAAGGUUGAAACUCAAAUGAAUUGACGGGG